UCGGGAAUUUUGGGCAAUGGGCGAAAGCCUGACCCAGCAACGCCGCGUGAAGGAUGAAGUAUUUCGGUAUGUAAACUUCGUAAGAAUAGGAAGAAUAAAUGACGGUACUAUUUGUAAGGUCCGGCUAACUACGUGCCAGCAGCCGCGGUAAUACGUAGGGACCAAGCGUUGUUCGGAUUUACUGGGCGUAAAGGGCGCGUAGGCGGCAAUUCAAGUCAUCUGUGAAAUCUCCGGGCUUAACUCGCAACGGUCAGAUGAUACUGCUUUGCUAGAGUGCAGAAGGGGCAAUCGGAAUUCUUGGUGUAGCGGUGAAAUGCGUAGAUAUCAAGAGGAACACCUGAGGUGAAGACGGGUUGCUGGGCUGACACUGACGCUGAGGCGCGAAAGCCAGGGGAGCAAACGGGAUUAGAUACCCAAGUAGUCCCUGAGCGGGCUGGCAAGGCGCAU
Molecule: ribosomal RNA, 447 nt
Filed under: uncultured bacterium
Lineage: Bacteria
Description: bacterial SSU rRNA
Rfam family: Bacterial small subunit ribosomal RNA
Source: RNAcentral